GCUGGGUACAGGGGUGCACGCCUGUAAUCCCAGCAGCUUGGGAGGCUGAGGCAGGAGGAUUGCAAGUUAAAGCCAGCCUCGGCAAUUUCGCGAGGACCUAAGCAACUCAGCAAGACCCUGUCUCUA
This 126-nucleotide small RNA is filed under the name Marmota monax (woodchuck). The record is from RNAcentral. Lineage: Eukaryota; Metazoa; Chordata; Mammalia; Rodentia; Sciuridae.